RNAcentral lists this ribosomal RNA (1522 nucleotides) under metagenome. RNAcentral describes it as "bacterial SSU rRNA". It matches the Rfam family "Bacterial small subunit ribosomal RNA". The record is from RNAcentral.
AGAGUUUGAUCAUGGCUCAGAUUGAACGCUGGCGGCAGGCCUAACACAUGCAAGUCGAACGGUAACAGGAAGCAGCUUGCUGCUUCGCUGACGAGUGGCGGACGGGUGAGUAAUGUCUGGGAAGCUGCCUGAUGGAGGGGGAUAACUACUGGAAACGGUAGCUAAUACCGCAUAAUGUCGCAAGACCAAAGAGGGGGACCUUCGGGCCUCUUGCCAUCGGAUGUGCCCAGAUGGGAUUAGCUUGUUGGUGGGGUAACGGCUCACCAAGGCGACGAUCCCUAGCUGGUCUGAGAGGAUGACCAGCCACACUGGAACUGAGACACGGUCCAGACUCCUACGGGAGGCAGCAGUGGGGAAUAUUGCACAAUGGGCGCAAGCCUGAUGCAGCCAUGCCGCGUGUAUGAAGAAGGCCUUCGGGUUGUAAAGUACUUUCAGCGGGGAGGAAGGGAGUAAAGUUAAUACCUUUGCUCAUUGACGUUACCCGCAGAAGAAGCACCGGCUAACUCCGUGCCAGCAGCCGCGGUAAUACGGAGGGUGCAAGCGUUAAUCGGAAUUACUGGGCGUAAAGCGCACGCAGGCGGUUUGUUAAGUCAGAUGUGAAAUCCCCGGGCUCAACCUGGGAACUGCAUCUGAUACUGGCAAGCUUGAGUCUCGUAGAGGGGGGUAGAAUUCCAGGUGUAGCGGUGAAAUGCGUAGAGAUCUGGAGGAAUACCGGUGGCGAAGGCGGCCCCCUGGACGAAGACUGACGCUCAGGUGCGAAAGCGUGGGGAGCAAACAGGAUUAGAUACCCUGGUAGUCCACGCCGUAAACGAUGUCGACUUGGAGGUUGUGCCCUUGAGGCGUGGCUUCCGGAGCUAACGCGUUAAGUCGACCGCCUGGGGAGUACGGCCGCAAGGUUAAAACUCAAAUGAAUUGACGGGGGCCCGCACAAGCGGUGGAGCAUGUGGUUUAAUUCGAUGCAACGCGAAGAACCUUACCUGGUCUUGACAUCCACGGAAGUUUUCAGAGAUGAGAAUGUGCCUUCGGGAACCGUGAGACAGGUGCUGCAUGGCUGUCGUCAGCUCGUGUUGUGAAAUGUUGGGUUAAGUCCCGCAACGAGCGCAACCCUUAUCCUUUGUUGCCAGCGGUCCGGCCGGGAACUCAAAGGAGACUGCCAGUGAUAAACUGGAGGAAGGUGGGGAUGACGUCAAGUCAUCAUGGCCCUUACGACCAGGGCUACACACGUGCUACAAUGGCGCAUACAAAGAGAAGCGACCUCGCGAGAGCAAGCGGACCUCAUAAAGUGCGUCGUAGUCCGGAUUGGAGUCUGCAACUCGACUCCAUGAAGUCGGAAUCGCUAGUAAUCGUGGAUCAGAAUGCCACGGUGAAUACGUUCCCGGGCCUUGUACACACCGCCCGUCACACCAUGGGAGUGGGUUGCAAAAGAAGUAGGUAGCUUAACCUUCGGGAGGGCGCUUACCACUUUGUGAUUCAUGACUGGGGUGAAGUCGUAACAAGGUAACCGUAGGGGAUCCUGCGGUUG